CGCUUCUGCCCUGUUUACUUCAGAAAAAAAAUUGUCUUAUUGAUCCUGAGUACACACUUCGUGCAACUUCUGGUGGUUCAAGGUAUUUGUCUGAAAGCCUCAAGGAUUCAUUUUGGAUGCAAAUUCAUGCAUAUGCUGUGAUGGUUUGCUUUGAAUACAAUGUCCAAUGAGAAUGAACUUUAAGGAUUAUUGACAAAUCUGUUUGAAAAAGAAGCAUGAAGAAAAACCUUAUUGGUCCAUCUUGUGGCAAAAAGCGGGUAUUUCUUUGCUCAUUUGAAUGUUAGUGGAUUAUUUACGCUGGUGCAAUGUUUUGAAGAGAUAAAAUGCUCCCCACUGUGCUACAUGCAAAUCUCUGGAAUGUAAACAUAAAUAGUUGUUGAACAUUCAUAAUCAAAGACAUUUUUUAUAAUUAUUGUUGGAUAGUUCAGUCCUCUAAUAGCAUCAUCUGUUGUAAAUCAGCGUAGCUCUACCAAAGUCUGCAAAGCCCCUGCUGACUUGUACCAGAUGGGACUCAAACCCUUCACUCCAAGUUGAGCCCUUCUGGAGGGAAGGAAAAAAAUCUGAUAGUCCUUGAAUAUGAAGUUCUCUGUUAAUUCAUGGRAAGGUAGAGCAGCAGGGACUUCAUCCCCACCUCUAUCCCAGCCCUUACAUGGAGACAGUAUUUCUGUGCUCCAAGGAAACAGUUUCUCUGCCAAGUUAAUCCUUGGCCUGUAUGCUCAGAUUAUCACCGAGAUUUGUCAGAUAAUGAAUGCUCUUUAUAAUGUGAGGUCUGAUAUUUGGACAAAGACCACCAGCUCUUUAACACAGGCCAUCAAACAGCUGUUGGGUGCUAAGAAUUUUCUGUGAUUCACAGCCUGUGCUGUAUUUUUAGAUAUCUAAAGGUGAAGGGCUUGAUAUCCU
This is a long non-coding RNA of Nothoprocta perdicaria, 900 nucleotides long. RefSeq lists it as uncharacterized. Lineage: Eukaryota; Metazoa; Chordata; Aves; Tinamiformes; Tinamidae. The transcript has 3 exons. The record is from RefSeq and is a predicted model, not a curated record.